UUCUUGGAUUUAUUGAAGACUAACUACUGCGAAAGCAUUUGCCAAGGAUGUUUUCAUNANUCAAGAACGAAAGUUAGGGGAUCGAAGACGAUCAGAUACCGUCGUAGUCUUAACCAUAAACUAUGCCGACUAGGGAUCGGAUGAUGUUAAUUUUUUAAUGACUCA
Molecule: ribosomal RNA, 165 nt
Filed under: uncultured Glomeromycotina
Lineage: Eukaryota; Fungi; Glomeromycota
Description: partial 18S ribosomal RNA
Rfam family: Eukaryotic small subunit ribosomal RNA
Source: RNAcentral